Molecule: unclassified non-coding RNA, 422 nt
Filed under: soil metagenome
Description: partial contains 5.8S ribosomal RNA, internal transcribed spacer 2, and large subunit ribosomal RNA
Rfam family: 5.8S ribosomal RNA (bases 1-120)
Source: RNAcentral
GAUGAAGAACGUAGCGAAAUGCGAUAAGUAAUGUGAAUUGCAGAUUUCAGUGAAUCAUCGAAUCUUUGAACGCACCUUGCGCCUUGUGGUAUUCCACAAGGCAUGCCCGUUUGAGUAUCAUUAAAUCAUCAACUCUAAAACCUUUGUGGUUUUUUUAGAGCUUGGUCUUGAGGGUUUUGCAGGCUUUUUUUUUUUCGAGUCUGCUCCCUUUAAAUGCAUUAGCGAGACUUCCCUAUGCUUAACCGUCUCUUUGACGUGAUAAUUAUCUGCGUCGAAUUUUGGUUCUCGUUGGGCUUGCUUCUAAUCGUCUGUUAAAGACAAAACGGAUUUGGGUGCAUAUAUGCGCCUUUUUUCAAAACCUUUUUUGAUCUCAAAUCGGGUAGGACUACCCGCUGAACUUAAGCAUAUCAAUAAGCGGAGGA